RNAcentral lists this transfer RNA (64 nucleotides) under Aphis coreopsidis. Its description in RNAcentral is "tRNA-Ile". The record is from RNAcentral. Lineage: Eukaryota; Metazoa; Arthropoda; Insecta; Hemiptera; Aphididae.
AAUAAAAUGCCUGAAAAAGGGUUACUUUGAUAGAGUAAAACAUGUAUAAUUUAUACUUUUAUUA